Molecule: ribosomal RNA, 119 nt
Filed under: Bison bison bison
Lineage: Eukaryota; Metazoa; Chordata; Mammalia; Artiodactyla; Bovidae
Source: RNAcentral
GUCUCAGGCCGUAUCAGCCUGAAGGCGCCCGAUCUCGUCUGAUCUCGGAAGCUAAGCAGGGUCGGGCCUGGUUAGAUCUUGGAUGGGAGACCACCUGGGAAUCCCGGGUGCUCGAGGCU